UAGGGAAUCUUCGGCAAUGGGGGCAACCCUGACCGAGCAACGCCGCGUGAGUGAAGAAGGUUUUCGGAUCGUAAAGCUCUGUUGUAAGAGAAGAACGUGUGUGAGAGUAACUGUUCAUUCGAUGACGGUAUCUAACCAGCAAGUCACGGCUAACUACGUGCCAA
This 164-nucleotide ribosomal RNA is filed under the name uncultured bacterium. Its description in RNAcentral is "partial 16S rRNA". It matches the Rfam family "Bacterial small subunit ribosomal RNA", at positions 355 to 511 of the family's 1533-position model. The record is from RNAcentral.